AUUGAACGCUGGCGGCAGGCCUAACACAUGCAAGUCGAACGAGUGGCGGACGGGUGAGUAAUGUCUGGGAAACUGCCUGAUGGAGGGGGAUAACUACUGGAAACGGUAGCUAAUACCGCAUACCAUCGGAUGUGCCCAGAUGGGAUUAGCUAGUAGGUGGGGUAACGUCUCCCCGAGGCGACGAUCCCUAGCUGGUCUGAGAGGAUGACCAGCAAAACUGAAACUGCGACACGGUCCAGACUGCUACGGGAGGCAGCAGUGGGGAAUAGUGCACAAUGGGCGCAAGCCUGAUGCAGCCAUGCCGCGUGUGUGAAGAAGGCCUUCGGGUUGUAAAGCACUUUCAGCGUGGAGGCGUUACCCGCAGAAGAAGCACCGGCUAACGCAGAGCCAGCAGCCGCGGUAAUAC
Molecule: ribosomal RNA, 406 nt
Filed under: uncultured bacterium
Lineage: Bacteria
Description: partial 16S ribosomal RNA
Rfam family: Bacterial small subunit ribosomal RNA
Source: RNAcentral